ACUGAAGAGGAAAACUUUUUUUUUUCUUUUUUCUUUGUAUUAAUCAGUGAACUCUUUACUUAGUGUAGGGUUAAUUUUAAAAGUAUAAAAAUUAUCUUAAAAAUUGAUCUCUGUAAAAAAUAAUCUGAAAAAAUUGAUCAUAAAAAAUAAGAAUGGGAAAGGAAGAAGGAGGAGAAAGAAGGGUGAGAGUAUGGGUGGGCAGGAGGCAGAGUGUGGGAAGAAUUCUCAUGUUCCCAAAUCUGUAUGUAUUAAAUGCAUGAAGUUGCAUUCCCUAAAUAAAAUAAAAAAUCUUUUAUCUAAGGAGUACAAAUUUCAUAAGUAUAAUGAAUCUUCUCUUUUUUUUGUUAUUUAUAUUAUUUUUUAUUCUUUUAUUUCUUUUUUUUUAACUUUUAUUUAAUGAAUAUAAAUUUCCAAAGUACGGCUUAUGGAUUACAAUGGCUUCCCCCCAUAUCGUCUCUCCCACCCGCAUCCCUCCCCUUUACCACUCCCUCUCCCCUUCCAUUCACAUGAGGAUUCAUUUUCGAUUCUCUUUAUAUACAGAAGAUCAGUUUAGCAUACAUUAAGUAAAGAUUUCAACAGUUUGCUCCCACACAAACAUAAAGUGAAAAAUAAUAGAUGAUUUUUUAAAUGAUGAUGAAAUCAGAUCAGACCUAUUGUCAUGUUUAAUCCCAGUGAGAGUCAAGUUGGGAAUUGAUAAUUUCUUCUUCUUCUUUUUUUUUUUUUAACAGAAGAUCAGUUUAGUAUACAUUAAGUAAAGAUUUCAACAGUUUGCACCCCCAUAGAAACACAAAGUGAAAUAUACUGUUUGAGUACUCAUUAUAGCGUUAAGUCUCAAUGUAUAGCACAUUAAGGACAGAGAUCCUACAUGAGGAGUAAGUGCACAGUGACUCCUGUUGUUGGCUUUACAAAUUGACACUCCUGUUUAUGGCAUCAGUAAUCUCCCUAUGCUCCAGUCUUGAGUUUCCAAGGCUAUGGAAGCCCCUUGAGUUCUCUGACUCUUAUCUUGUUUAGACAAGGUCAUAUUCAAAGUGGAGGUUCUCUCCUCCCUUCAGAGAAAGGUACCUCCUUCUUUGAAGACCUGUUCUUUCCACUGGGAUCUCCCUCACAGAGAUCUUUCAUUUAGGGUUUUUGUUUGUUUGUUUGUUUGUUUUGCCAGAGUGUCUUGGCUUUCCAUGCCUGAAAUACUCUCAUGGGCUUUUCAGCCAGAUCCAAAUGCCUUUAGGGCUGAUUCUGAGGCCAGAGUGCUG
RNAcentral lists this long non-coding RNA (1247 nucleotides) under Oryctolagus cuniculus (rabbit). RNAcentral's name for it is "lncRNA (ENSOCUG00000036956.1)". The record is from RNAcentral. Lineage: Eukaryota; Metazoa; Chordata; Mammalia; Lagomorpha; Leporidae.